Molecule: non-coding RNA, 4512 nt
Organism: Anas platyrhynchos (mallard)
Lineage: Eukaryota; Metazoa; Chordata; Aves; Anseriformes; Anatidae
Source: RefSeq, a predicted model, not a curated record
CUGUGAAAAUCCCACCCUUAAUGACUGCACCUUCAUCUUUAGUGCUUCUGCUGGAAGCAAAGCUUUUUUCCUAAGCAGAGGUGUGACUCUCACUGCUGUGACUGCCAGAGAAGGAAAGCCUUUUAAUUGAAGCAUUACACCUGAAUGACUGUUAUCCCUGCAGGAAAAAAAGGAAAAAUUAAAAAUCCCCACAACUUAUGGGACCAACAAAUAACUAAUGAGUCUGUCUACGAAGGAGCAGCAAGAAAAGCAUGUCACCUUGUCUUGUUUGGUUUGGCAGAGCUGGGACGCUCUUAAGAGAUGAAGCUGCUCCAACUUGCCUCCCCUUCUUCCAGAGCUGUGCAGCCUCUGCUGCCAAAAGCACUCUUCCUUCGCAGCACACGCGGCAGGUGACAGCUUAGUGAUGACCUGAAAGAACACAAAAGAUCCUCACUGAUUACCUUUGCAAGCGACACAAGACUGGAAGAACUAAAGAUUAUGAAGAGGCCAGCAGCAGAGAGCUUUCUGCCUGGAUUGAUAAGUGGAAAUGUUGGGCUGGAUUUAGACCCCGUAGCCCCUGGCACAGAUCACCCGGAGCUCGCUGGCGAUGAUGGCUGGUAUUAGAUGCUGGCAUCCCCUGCUGGUGCAGCUGGCGGUUAUCAGCGUUCCCUGCCUGGCGAACUCUUGCUGUGGGCAGUCUGCUGUCAUCCAAGCCUGCUCUAGUCUCUGGUCUGGAGGGCUGCGGGGUGAGCACCCACAGCAGUAAGCUUAUUGUCCCCCUGGGAGCUGUUCUUGAGGUCGCUUCUGUGGCCACGACGCUAGAAAGGUGUCGCAGCUCUUCUGGAGCGGAGAAGAGAGGGUCUUGUAAUGAAGGGACUCUGAGGAGCAGGGGCUGAAAGAAGACAUCAGGCAGCACAACAUUCCUAACGAAAUCAGGCAGGUUGGCAGUGCUGUUUGCUGAAGCUGGGAAAGCCCGUGUGGUUUCUGUUACAAGAAAAAAAAGAGCCUGCUCAGCCUUACUCAGGCUGGGGUAAAAAUGGUUAUCUUUUUCCACUUGCUGUCUUUUGUCUUUGUGUACGGGUGAUGGCUUUCCUUGGAGGAAUUCUUGUUCCACCCCCAUUUUGGCACGCUGCUGAGCGUGAUUUGCUCCCCAUUGGCGAUGCGUGUGCUCCUGGAGCUGGCUGUGCAUUAGCCCUCAUCAAGGAGGAGGGAAUUGGUUUAAUUCCACCAGCAAGGGAGGUAUAGUGCGCAUCUGACUGCAGUUUGGUGUUUUUCUUGAAAUGAGUGCCUGCUUUCCUAUUGCUUUACCUGCCCAUCAGAUAGGAUCUGCCAAGCCUGGACUUGAUGCAUUGUUCUCCUGACAAUAUAGUCAAUUCUGCAGCUAAUGCACGCGUAAGAUGAAAGCUGAACAUAAACACCUCUGCCAGCUACAGUAUACAUUUUAGUGCUCUGCCAGCUACCAAGGGACCGUACUUUAGAGUAUUCAAGUCAGGAGUUGUAGGAGUUGCCACAAUAUUUCUCAGUGCCAAGGGUCAGGUCUUUUAAUCUUCCACGAUAAUAAAACUACGUUUGCCCUCAGGAGAACAAAGGGACGUAGUUUUGCCCCAGUAAACAUGCUUUUAAACAGUGGAGUUCAGCUCAUUGUGGGCACCUGAAUGUGCAGCAAGCGAAGAAAUUAAAAUUUUAAUAUAUAUUGUUAAAUCAACAUGAAUGAAGAAGAAAACAAAAGCAGGCAAAAAUGAAGUAACUAUCAAAUGGGAAGUACUUAAGGCAAGACUUAUAAGAUGUUUCAAAGCAUGAAUUGUAAUAUGUGUUUAAAAUAGGACUGUUCCUUUAUUCUCAGCAUGUGGGUUACACUUUGAAUAUGGAACAAGAAUUUAGCCUUUUUUAGAAGCUGCAUUCUUAACAAAUUAUUCUUAAAAUGAAACUGUUUAAUGAAACCGCUUUUUAAGUGCUGUGUAAAACCAUGCAUUAUUAACAGGACACCAUACAUAAUACAAUAUAACCCUCUGCAAGGUAACAAUAGUUCCUCUAACUCAUUCAUACCCAGUUUUGAACUUUACCACUUUUACCUGGGAAUAUAACGGGCUGGGCAUUGUCUUUGCUGGAGAUCAGUGACAAGUAUAAAGCACAGUGAUACUGGCACAGCCUCAGCUCUGGGAAGUUCGUGGUGUUUUGCAGAAAGCAGGUGGGCGAGCAAGGCGUACACUGCAGGGCAGAUUGCACAGCUGUAAGAUCCGGAAUUCCCCUCAAAAGGAUCGGCAUGUCUUUGAAAAUGAAUUCAUCACCGAAAUAAAAGAGAUUUCUGAUGCAGAGGGAGAAAAUGGGGUUUGAUCAGUUUCAAAUGAACUUUUUUUUUGCGUUUGUUUUGCCUCCAUCUCCCUCUUUUUUUUUUUUUUUUUCCCCUUUCUCAUUCUCUUUUCCCCCAAAAUUCAUUUCCAAGAUCUAAUAAAGGGGAUGUUUUCAUCUUUAAAAGGUUGUAUGAGACUGUUGCAAGAAAUUCUUUUGUGCAACCUGCUUUUCUAUAAAAAACACUGGGAGCUGAAUGCAUCUGGAUCAUUAGAUUCAGGAAACACCGUGUUUUCUCAGUAUCUAUGAAAUGCAUUCAUCGAUUAUUUUUUCAUCAGAAUGCUUGCAAUAGAUCUCUGUGACUAUUUUUCACUGUAUGUUUUUGUGGAUGGUGACAACGUGCUGCCCAAAUUAGGAAGAAUGGCUGCAUGGCAUUUAAUGCUCAAGCAGUUUGUAAGGGACUUGCAGGUUUGCAAUCCCUACCAGGAUUUCUCACUAUGUAAGUGCUAUGUGCUAUUCUGAACUGCUAAUUCACUAGCUGCAUGAAUGAAUAUACUGACAUUUUACAGAAGUGUUAUGGCUUUCUACCCUCAGAAACUACUGUAAAUGGUACAUAGUGAUGUUAGGCUACGUGGAAACCAAUGAGCUGCCAAAUGCUUCCAGAAGUUCCCGUUUUAUUUUGUGAUAUCAGUGCCUUCUCUGCUCUUGCUGAUCAGUGUGAAUAGUUUCUGGCAGUGAAAGUCAGCCAGAAAAAAAAUAUAUUUCGCUUUUGCAUCUGAUAAAAAUUUUAUUGCCAUAUCUAGCUCCAAAUAAAACUCCUACUCUUUCAGCAAUUCCUGAAAAACACAAAUUAAUUUGGGUUUGAAUAAUACCCCCAAACUAUUAGAGCUGCCAACUGAACAGGGAACAGAUAAUUAGGAGAUGACAACAGACAGCACAAAGCCAAGAGAGGAAAAACUGGAACACAGCUAGAGAGCAACACUGGCCAUCUAAUCCAUUAACGGCCUCCUAUAAUUAUGUUUUGCUUUUGCAUUAAACUGGUAUAAACACAAAAAGACGUUAGUGAUGUUUUAAUCUCCAGGAAAAGAAAUCUCCUCUUGCCUAACAGCACGCAGCACACACAGAAAUAUGACUUCAAUUAGCACUACUGUAAAUUUUAAUUUAGCACUUGGUAGGAGCAUUCAGCAAUGUAUAUCUGAAAUAGGGGCUGAUGCUCCACUGAGGAUGUUCCGCACUGUCAUCCCAUCCAUCCCUCGAUUCAUAUUUGUGGGGUGAGCAGGAGGGGGAGGAUUUAGGAAUUUAGAGCUGGUGGAAAAUGCCAGAGGAUUGUUUCCCCAGGCCUUCUGCACCCAUUUCUUGAGCUGGUUUUUGGCCAUUACCAAGGUGUCCUGUCUGGCUGCUGGGUGAUGCUGCUGGCAGCAGUGCAGGCUCCCUCCUGCUGCCCACCCCAGGGAGUGGAAAGCACCUACGAGCAACCCAGCAUCCAAUUUCCAGUGGCUGCCAUAUAAUGCCCUUGAAGUUCGAUUUUGUCCGGUGAUUUUGUUUUGCUCCAAGCAUGACAGGUGUCCACUGUGAUUGGCACUGUUCAAAGAUUAUUUGCAAGUUCCCCAGCUAAGCUUUGGUAUUCAGCUCCACCAUGGUGCACCGCCUUCUUUUUUUUUGGUACGGGAAUAUCUUGUGUGAGUGGCACACAGGUUUGCUCUACUAGUCAGCUACAACACCGGAGCUUGGGUUAGCACAUUAGAGCACCAAGAAUUUAUGUUUGUUGCGGUUUAAAGUUAUUCCCUGGUGGCAGUGCUUAUUUGUGUUUAAACUGCAGAUGCCCGUGUUUAUACAAUUUACAUUGUUUAAAAUGUCACUAUUAUUUGUUUAAAAAAAAAAUUCUGCUAGGUUUGGCACAGUGUAUCCUGUAAUUUAUUGUACAGCCCUGUGCUAUGCCAUUUUAGUGAGAAUCUUGAAACAGGGCCCUAUGUUUUUUUUCCCCUUUUGCUGUUUGUUCUGCUCUUUAAUUACAUUCAUAUCAGCUACUUUGAAGUUAAUGAGACUGUUGGGAUAUGUAAAAGAGAAUCCUGUAUUGAUUUCAGUCCUAAUAUCUUAUCUUUGCAUCUUUCCCUUCCUGCAUGUAAUGUGUUCUGACUGAGUCACAUUUGCUCACAUGUUGUGAUGGGUUUAAUAGCUUUGGCCUGACAUAGGGCUUUAUCAUACAAUCCAAAAGGAAAAGGAAAUAAAUAAACACAAAAUGCA